This is a non-coding RNA of Misgurnus anguillicaudatus (oriental weatherfish), 405 nucleotides long. NCBI's taxonomy places the organism in Eukaryota, Metazoa, Chordata, Actinopteri, Cypriniformes, Cobitidae. The record is from RefSeq and is a predicted model, not a curated record.
CUGUCCUGGUACAAAGGAAACAGUUUAUUGUCCAUCAUCAGUGUGUCUGAUCUCAACAUCAGACUCUCUCUAUCUCUGGAGGUUGAAUAUCAGGAUACAAACACAUACAGAUGUGUACUCAACAAUACCAUCACAAACCAAACUCAACAUCUCAACAUCAAUCAUCUCUGUCAGACGUGUUCAGAUACAACAGGUCUCACCUUCAUUCAUAAAGUUGUGAUCUGUUGUGUUGUUGUUGGAUGUCUGAUGAUUGUCGCUUCAGUUCUGAUCUUCUGCAUCUACAGGAAACACAGAAACACACAUCAACAGGUUCAGAGCGGUGAAGAGGAAAUCACUUACGCAGAAACAACUUUCCAUCAAAGACAAACACAUAAACCAGUAAGAUCAAUCUUUAUUGUUUAUAUC